Long non-coding RNA from Eurytemora carolleeae, 370 nucleotides. RefSeq lists it as uncharacterized. The transcript is spliced from 2 exons. The record is from RefSeq and is a predicted model, not a curated record. Lineage: Eukaryota; Metazoa; Arthropoda; Copepoda; Calanoida; Temoridae.
UGAAAUUAUGAACAUUUUGUUCUGAAUAAUGAGAUAGAGAUAUCUCACAAUUUUUUUUCGACCAAAAUGUUUGUAAUUCCGAAUAUGCUUUCGUUAACAAAACACGGCCACGAUGAAUUAUGUUCAAAAGUUUAUUUUUGAAAUUUAAAUUUUUUCGAUGCUCUUUUUAAAUGCAGAGUGCCAUUAACGAUUUACAACGAUAUGCAAUGACACUGCAUAUCAUUACUUUAACUUGAAUGGUGCCCUUGAAUCCUUAAUCUGAUCAAACAUGUGGAAGAUAACGUCGUUUUUCUUCUGACAAAAAUGUUUAUUUCUGAUAUUUUCUCCAGUCUUUCUUAAAGCCAAGAAAUGUUCGUCACAAAAAAAAAAA